This 71-nucleotide transfer RNA is filed under the name Loxodonta africana (African savanna elephant). It matches the Rfam family "tRNA". From Rfam's summary of the family: Transfer RNA (tRNA) molecules are approximately 80 nucleotides in length. Their secondary structure includes four short double-helical elements and three loops (D, anti-codon, and T loops). Lineage: Eukaryota; Metazoa; Chordata; Mammalia; Proboscidea; Elephantidae. The record is from Rfam by way of RNAcentral.
GCACUGGUGGUUCAGUGGUAGAAUUCUCACCUUCCAUCUGGGAAACCUGGGUUCAAUUCCCCGCCAAAGUA